RNAcentral lists this ribosomal RNA (588 nucleotides) under uncultured rumen bacterium. Its description in RNAcentral is "bacterial SSU rRNA". It matches the Rfam family "Bacterial small subunit ribosomal RNA", at positions 890 to 1482 of the family's 1533-position model. The record is from RNAcentral.
CGCAGCUAAACUCAAAGGAAUUGACGGGGGCCCGCACAAGCGUGGAGCAUGUGCUAUUCGAGCACGCGAAGAACCUUACCUGGAUUUGACAUGGACCGGAAUCAGAUUAGAAUAGUUUGAGCCCGCAAGGGCUGUUCACAGGUGCUGCAUGGCUGUCGUCAGCUCGUGCCGUGAGGUGUUCGGUUAAGUCCGGCAACGAGCGCAACCCACGUUAGUAGUUGCCAGCAGGUAAAGCUGGGCACUCUACUGAUACUGCCCGUGUUAAGCGGGAGGAAGGAGUGGAUGAUGUCAAGUCCGUAUGGCCUUUAUAUCCAGGGCUGCACACGUGCUACAAUGGCUGCUACAGAGGGAAGCGAAAUCGCGAGAUGGAGCAGAUCCGUAAAAACAGCCCUAGUUCGGAUUGCAGGCUGCAACUCGCCUGCAUGAAGCCGGAAUCGCUAGUAAAGGCGUAUCAGCCACGACGCCUUGAAUACGUUCCCGGGCCUUGUACACACCGCCCGUCACAUCAUGGGAGUUGAUUGCACCCGAAGCUGCUGACCGAACCUGCAAAGGACGGAGGCAUCUAAGGUGUGGUUAAUGACUGGGAUG